GACGAACGCUGGCGGCGUGCUUAACACAUGCAAGUCGAGCGGUAAGGCCCUUCGGGUACGACGAGCGGCGAACGGGUGAGUAACACGUGGGUGACCUGCCCUUAGCUCUGGGAUAAGCCUGGGAAACUGGGUCUAAUACCGGAUAUGACCCCAUGACGCAUGUUGUGGGGUGGAAAGCCUUGUGCGGCUAGGGAUGGGCCCGC
This 203-nucleotide ribosomal RNA is filed under the name uncultured bacterium. RNAcentral describes it as "partial 16S ribosomal RNA". It matches the Rfam family "Bacterial small subunit ribosomal RNA", at positions 28 to 234 of the family's 1533-position model. The record is from RNAcentral.